This 66-nucleotide transfer RNA is filed under the name Cryptocephalus pominorum. Its description in RNAcentral is "tRNA-Pro". The record is from RNAcentral. Lineage: Eukaryota; Metazoa; Arthropoda; Insecta; Coleoptera; Chrysomelidae.
CAAGGGGUAGUUUAUUAAAAAUAUUAAUUUUGGAGAUUAAUGAAAAGGAGAUAACCUUUCCCUUGA